This 500-nucleotide ribosomal RNA is filed under the name uncultured soil bacterium. RNAcentral's name for it is "bacterial SSU rRNA". It matches the Rfam family "Bacterial small subunit ribosomal RNA", at positions 930 to 1429 of the family's 1533-position model. The record is from RNAcentral.
CGUUGGAGCAUGUGGUUUAAUUCGACGCAACGCGAAGAACCUUACCUGGGCUCGAACGGCUUUUCAACGACGGUGGAAACAUCGUUAUCCCGCAAGGGAGUAGAGUCGAGGUGCUGCAUGGCUGUCGUCAGCCCGUGUCGUGAGAUGUUGGGUUAAGUCCCGCAACGAGCGCAACCCUUGUCCUGUGUUGCCAUCAUUCAGUUGGGCACUCUCAGGAGACCGCCAGCGAUAAGUUGGAGGAAGGUGGGGAUGACGUCAAGUCAUCAUGGCCUUUAUGUCCAGGGCUACACACGUGCUACAAUGGGCGGUACAAAGCGCUGCAAACCCGCGAGGGGGAGCCAAUCGCACAAAACCGUUCUCAGUUCGGAUCGCAGGCUGCAACUCGCCUGCGUGAAGCUGGAAUCGCUAGUAAUGGUAUAUCAGAAUGAUACCGUGAAUACGUUCCCGGGCCUUGUACACACCGCCCGUCACAUCACGAAAGUGGGUUGCACUAGAAGUCC